CUCUGGAGCAGCCCACCUGUCACCAGUGCACCUCUCAGUCCACAGGGGUGUGUCAUUAAUAUGUUGCAGCUGAUGCCUCCCUCUUUAAAACAGAGUGCUUGUUGCCUUGGUGACACACAGGGCUUGUCAGCUCAGACUCUGGAAUCCCUACAUCUAUCUCAAGUCUGUGGUCUCCCAUCUGACCACACUUUGCUCCGUUUGUAGUUAAUUAAGUUGGCAUUAAUCAAGACCCAGGUGAGGAGCUGAGAUAAUAUUUUGCUUGUAUUGCUUUAAUAUACAUCAGCUGAUUAAUUGUUAUGGUGUAAAGCAGUUCUCAAAAUAUAAGGCUGCUGAAUUAGAGAGAAAAUCCUGGUAAUUGCUUUAACCCAUUCCUGCACAUGGGAUCAGGGAGCUUCCUGCUUCCCUAUACCAAGUCACUUGUUUGAGAAUAAGACUGUUCUUGUUUGGUUUUUGAAUUUGAACAUUUGAAUUUCUUUGUAGCAAAUCAAAUUCCUCACCAAACUUGGUUAAGGAAGGCGUUUGGGGGUCAACAAUUUAUAUUUUGUAUCAUUUUUAGUUUGAGGAAUGCUUCUCUUUUCCCCCAGGGAGGUUGUGCCAGAUCUUGCAUCAAACAGUUGAAAGAUUUUGGUGGUGGUGUGGGGGGACAGCGGUGGAAUCAACGACAAAAAGUUACUGAUUAUGUGAGAAACGCAGCACAGAAUUAAAAUGGCCUUUUUUGAACUUCUUGUUGGGGGGUGGCCACAUAGCAGAAAAACAAUUUUAUUUGUAAAACUUGUUCUACGUUAAGUGUUUUUCAAGGUUCCCCUCAAGACCAAUAGUGGGAUGAGAUUACAUUGAUUCUCUUUUUAAAAAUGAAAUAGAAAAUAUCAGAGUACAUUGUAAGUGGUAAAGGUAUGUUUGGUGAAACUUUUGUUUCAGUUGUAUGAAUAUGUAUUAGGAUGUGUUUUGAAAAAAUUAAAAACCACUGUUUAGGAGUCUAGGUGUCUCAUCGUGAAUUAUUUGUUUUAAUGUUGGAAAAAGAAUAUGAAAAGGGCCUUAUCUGGUGAUUUUUCAGAGCGUGAUCUUGAUAUUGAGAGCCUUGUAAUACUAGAUUUUUUAUUUUCCCUAUGGAAAUUGUGUUUCGCUUUAUGUAGUUUAACAUCUCCAAAGCUCAUCCUCUCUUAGGUUAGACUGUGUCCUGUUUCCUCUAUGUCACUGGAGAGGGAAGGGUGCAGAUUUGCCUCCUGGGGGGUUUCACCUUCUCCCCGAGGCACGGGGACAGACGGGGAUAACUGGAGAGGGAGAGCAGUCAUCCCCCAGGUGUCUUCGAGUGGGUGGGUCUGGAGCUUUCUUCGUAGAACUUUGUUCACGGCGCUGGAGAAGUGAUGGUUCAGUCGAUUCCCUGUAGGGGAGCUUCUGGGUGUCGAUCCCGCGGGGGUGGCAUUCUAACCUCCGUUUUCAGAAGCAGCUGAGUUGCCUGAGGUCGCGCAGCUCAACUGGAGCGAGGUCAGCAGUGAGCGCGUCGUGAGUCAGCCCUGGGCGCAGCCCGCCCUGUUCUGCCGCUCGUGAGCUGGCGACGACCUGUCGGUCCUGCGGAGAGCGCUGGGGUUCCGCGGGACGGAAGCCCGCCCGAGCCCGCGUGGGAAACCAGCGAGCGGAGCUGGGCGUCGCGUGAACCGCAGCUGGGAGGGGCGGUGCUUCCGGGGCGGUCCUGGCCGGCCUGGCCCC
Molecule: long non-coding RNA, 1707 nt
Organism: Equus asinus (donkey)
Lineage: Eukaryota; Metazoa; Chordata; Mammalia; Perissodactyla; Equidae
Source: Ensembl